This 502-nucleotide ribosomal RNA is filed under the name uncultured bacterium. Its description in RNAcentral is "partial 16S ribosomal RNA". It matches the Rfam family "Bacterial small subunit ribosomal RNA", at positions 28 to 523 of the family's 1533-position model. The record is from RNAcentral.
GAUGAACGCUGGCGGCGUGCCUAAUACAUGCAAGUCGAACGAAGAUCUAGCUUGCUAGAUCUUAGUGGCGAACGGGUGAGUAAUACAUAAAUAAUCUGCCCAUAUGACUGGGAUAACUAUUGGAAACGAUAGCUAAUACCGGAUAGGUUGAUUGGAGGCAUCUCUGAUUAAUUAAAGAUGAAUUCUACACAAAUGGAAGAGUUUAUGGCGCAUUAGUUAGUUGGUGGGGUAACGGCCUACCAAGACGAUGAUGCGUAGCCGACCUGAGAGGGUGACCGGCAACACUGGGACUGAGACACGGCCCAGACUCCUACGGGAGGCAGCAGUAGGGAAUUUUCGGCAAUGGGCGCAAGCCUGACCGAGCAACGCCGCGUGAGUGAUUAAGGCCUUCGGGUUGUAAAGCUCUGUUGUAAGGGAAGAACAUUCAGGAUAGGAAAUGAUCUUGAACUGACGGUACCUUACCAGAAAGCCACGGCUAACUACGUGCCAGCAGCCGCAGUAA